GCAUUAUGGGAGGCGCGCGCUUUUGCCGCUUCCGCGAAUAUGGCGGCGCCGUAGUUAGGGCGCGGGAUCCUGGGGCGCGGGGAGGCUGCAGUGCGCAGUCCGGGCGCGGUAAUGGCGACUCCGGAUCAGAAGUCGCCCAACGUUCUGCUGCAGAACCUGUGCUGCCGGAUCCUGGGCCGGAGCGAAGCUGAUGUGGCCCAGCAGUUCCAGUUUGCUGUGAGAGUUAUCGGCAGCAACUUCGCUCCAACUGUUGAACGAGAUGAAUUUCUAGUAGCUGAAAAAAUCAAGAAAGAACUUAUUCGACAAAGGAGAGAAGCGGACGCCGCACUGUUUUCAGAGCUCCACAGGAAGCUUCAUUCGCAGGGAGUUUUGAAGAAUAAAUGGUCAAUCCUCUACCUCCUGCUGAACCUUAGUGAGGACCCUCGCAAGCAGGCCAGCAAGGUGACCAGCUACGCUUCCUUAUUUGCACAAGCGUUACCAAGAGACGCUCACUCGACGCCUUACUACUAUGCCAGGCCUCAGACCCUCCCGCUCAACUACCAGGACCGCAGCACACAGGCACAGAGCUCUGGCAGCCUGGGCAGCAGCGGCAUCAGCAGCAUCGGCAUGUGUGGCCUUAGUGGCCCCACACCUGUGCAGCCUUUCCUUCCCGGACAGUCUCAUCAAGCUCCAGGAGUGGGUGACGGCCUGCGACAGCAGUUGGGGCCUCGUCUGGCGUGGACUCUGACUGGAAAUCAGCCUUCUUCACAAACCCCUACCUCCAAGGGUUUCCCAAAUGCUCUUUCUCGAAACCUGACAAGGUCAAGGAGAGAAGGGGAUCCAGGUGGCACAUUGGAAGUUACUGAAGCUGCUCUUGUGAGAGAUAUUCUCUACGUAUUCCAGGGCAUUGAUGGCAAAAACAUCAAAAUGAGCAGCACUGAAAACUGUUACAAAGUGGAAGCGAAGGCAAACUUAAACAAAUCUUUGAGGGACACAGCAGUCCGGCUUGCUGAGUUGGGAUGGUUGCAUAAUAAAAUCAGAAAGUAUGCUGACCAGAGGAGUCUGGACCGCUCAUUUGGACUUGUAGGUCAGAGUUUUUGUGCCGCAUUGCACCAAGAGCUCAAAGAAUACUACAGGCUCCUCUCUGUUCUGCACUCUCAGCUCCAGCUAGAAGAUGAUCAGGGUGUGAAUUUGGGACUAGAGAGUAGCCUCACACUGCGGCGCCUCCUGGUUUGGACAUAUGACCCCAAAAUAAGAUUAAAGACCCUUGCUGCGCUGGUAGAUCACUGCCAAGGACGAAAAGGGGGUGAGCUGGCCUCUGCUGUUCAUGCCUAUACAAAGACAGGGGACCCCUACAUGAAGUCCCUGGUGCAGCACAUUCUGAGCUUGGUGUCUCACCCUGUCCUGAGCUUCCUCUACCGGUGGAUAUAUGAUGGGGAGUUGGAGGACACUUACCACGAAUUUUUUGUGGCGUCUGAUCCAACAGUUAAAACUGACCGUCUAUGGCACGACAAGUAUACCCUGAGGAAGUCAAUGAUCCCCUCCUUCAUUACGAUGGACCAGUCUAGGAAGGUCCUUUUGAUAGGAAAGUCAAUAAAUUUCUUGCACCAAGUUUGUCAUGAUCAGACACCUACUACAAAAAUGAUAGCAGUGACGAAGUCGGCAGAGUCACCCCGUGACGCUGCGGAUUUAUUCACAGACUUAGAAAACGCAUUUCAAGGGAAAAUUGAUGCUGCUUAUUUUGAGACCAGCAAAUAUCUGUUGGAUGUCCUCAAUAAAAAGUACAGUCUGCUGGAACACAUGCAGGCCAUGCGACGGUACCUGCUGCUUGGCCAAGGAGACUUCAUACGGCACUUAAUGGAUUUGCUCAAGACAAAAAAAAAAAGAAGGCAUUACACCUUGCCUGUGCUAAUGAAGCUGAUGUUUUGAGCCUGUGACCUCCGAGUUAGUCUGACUUCCCAGGAGGUUGUCUCCAGCUGGCCCAUCUCAUCCUCCAGGGGAGUAUGGGUGGCGGUGCCCAGGAGCGUCUGAGUUGGAGCUGGUCAUCAGCUGGCGUGGAUGCUCAGCAAGCCCAUGAGUGCAGAGCAUUUCCACGCCAGAAGUGUGUAGGUUUCGCAGAGAGUUAAAGAGGAUGUGGCGAGGAGCUAUUAAAGGGUAGAUGCUCUCAUGGUGCUGGCCAACAGCGGCAGUGCACAGGCGUGGGCAUGCAAAGUGGAUGCUUGUGCAGACAGCCUAGCCAAGCAGCACAGAGUGGGGGUGUGCUCAGCAUUGCGGAUCACUCCUCCCCGGGUGUUGUCUCCUGUCCUGGUGUGUCAGUCAUCUUCGGUGCAGGGCUCUCUCCUCAGCCAUCAGUCUAUCUCCUGCACACCUGCCAUGAUUGCCAUCUUAGUCAGAAGAGUGGGGGCUUCGUGUCUGGAUGCACAGCCCUGAGCAAUGAAGUAAGCUAGGUGCUGGUGAUGGUGUGGUGCUGGCCACUGGAACUGUGAUGUCUAUAGUUAGCUGCAUGGACAUAGGGUCUUCGUAGGAAACUGUAACAGUCCUGCCCGUAAGCUAGCCAUAGUGUGAAAACUAUCAAGAUGUGUCGCACAUAUAAGUACUUUCACCCUAAGCUGAAUGGAAAUUAAUGUUUUUAAUAUUUUGAAGAAACCUACUUUCUACAGCAUUGUUAGUAGUUAAUGUCAUGAGCUUUGCUUAAUGAAGCAGAGUUGAGAUUUUUAAAAUUAUUUUAAUAAAUUUUGAGCACAGGGAUAAGAGAAAGAAGCAUGCAGGAAGACAGUAAGACACUCAAGCAUGGUGUGGGCGCCUCAGAGGGUCUCACUUUGUUGUCUUUGCAGUGGCCACAUACAAGGCUCUGGAGUGAAACACACUCUUGAUACUCUUUCAAGGACUCGUGAGAAACCUAAGUGAGGCCACAGAGUGGUUGCUAGGCACCGUGAUGCUUCUGUAGCUAUGUGUUACUAUCCCACUGUCUUCCGUUUUUAGCUUUUACUUUUUAAAUUAAUUUUUAAAAAAUUUCAAAUAAUAGUAUCUUUAACUUUAAACACCUUUUCUAAAGACCAGAACUUGUUCGGCCAGCAACAACUUUGUAUCAGCAUAACUUGACGGGGAUUCUUGAAACUGCUGUGAGAGCCACCAAUGCUCAGUUUGACAGCCCGGAGAUCCUUAAGAGGCUCGAUGUGAGGCUGCUGGAGGUCUCUCCUGGUGACACUGGGUGGGAUGUCUUCAGCCUGGAUUACCACGUCGAUGGACCAAUCGCCACUGUGUUCACACGAGAGUGCAUGAGCCACUACCUGAGAGUGUUUAACUUCCUGUGGAGGGCCAAGCGCAUGGAGUACAUCCUCACUGACAUCCGGAAAGGGCACAUGUGCAACGCGAAGCUGCUGAGGAACAUGCCGGAGUUCUCUGGGGUGCUUCACCAGUGCCACAUCCUGGCCUCAGAGAUGGUGCACUUCAUCCACCAGAUGCAGUACUACAUCACCUUUGAGGUUCUCGAGUGCUCCUGGGAUGAGCUGUGGAACAGAGUGCAGCAGGCCCAGGACCUGGACCACAUUAUUGCAGCACACGAGGCGUUCCUGAACACCAUCACCUCCCGCUGUCUCCUGGAUAGCAACUCCAGGGUGCUUUUAAACCAACUGAGAGCCGUGUUUGACCAAAUCAUUGAACUUCAGAAUGCCCAGGACGUGAUGUACAGAGCAGCUCUGGAGGAGCUGCAGAGGCGUCUGCAGUUUGAAGAGAAAAAGAAACAGCGUGAAAUUGAGGGCCAGUGGGGAGUGACUGCGGCAGAGGAAGAGGAGGAGAACAAGAGGAUCCGAGAAUUCCAGGACUCCAUACCAAAAAUGUGCUCACAGUUGCGAAUAUUGACGCACUUCUACCAGGGUGUGGUGCAGCAGUUUCUGGUGUUACUCACGACCAGCUCUGAUGAAAGUCUCCAGUUUCUCAGCUUCAGAUUGGACUUCAACGAACAUUACAAAGCCAGAGAACCCAGGCUCCGGGUCUCUCUGGGCAGUAGGGGGCGGCGCAGUUCCCACACGUGAGGCUGGCUUGGGUUAGUACAUGCUUACUCAAGCCUGGCCCCUCAAGCAGCUGUGAGCUGCAGGUGCCCCCUGUCUACACACAGGCCCCAGUGUUCAGCACUGUGUCUGCUGGAAGAAGUCUUGUUAUCCACUGGACUUGCGUGUCUGUAACGCUGCUGAGUUCAACAGGCCACUUACCUACCAUGUAGUCUCCGUAGUCGAAAGACACUGUGAUGUGCUGGGACAUCUUAUUUCCACCGUGUAAUUUAUAUUUCAACAACAACAAACUGUUUCUUGCCACAAAAAAACUAGACCAUAAAUUAAGAGUAAUGUCACUGCUGUUUUUUAGCAUUCUCUGUGAGACAGUUUUUGUUAUCAUGAUGACACUAAAAUUGAAACAUGUCUAAGAAAGUCCA
RNA transcript from Mus musculus (house mouse), 4408 nucleotides. It is a transcript of the gene named tubulin, gamma complex component 3, with no coding region annotated. Lineage: Eukaryota; Metazoa; Chordata; Mammalia; Rodentia; Muridae. The record is from RefSeq and is marked provisional. The transcript has 22 exons.